AGAUUUAUUAAGAUUGGAAGCUUGAAAGAGAUGCAAGCGGGCGGGCGGGGAAGCUCUGCCCCCAGGAUCCCAUGGGCUACAGUUUUUCAUCCGAGUGGGGUGGGGGUCGGAAAAGUCUGCCUCUUCCUCUCUCUUGGAGCGGUAGCUCCUCCUUGGUAUCUGGUAAGAGACAUCCCCGGUCCCAGCCACCUGUGCUGGGAGUCCUGGAAACAGCCCGCUGGAUGUCCUCGGUGACAGGCUCCCAGGAGGACGGAGACAGACACCACCCCCCACAUGUGGCUGUUCAGCUUGGAGACCCACUGGGGACAUGGGUUCAGCCUGGCACCAGAUCUACACCUUUGCCUGGAAGGUGGAGGCUCAAACUGGGCAGCAAGCAACAAUGGCCUGAGGAAAAUAACUGCCCGCAUAGAUUAAUCUACAAGGAUUCGCUGCCCUCUGUCCUGGGACUCCACCCCCGACCCCUCCUCCUUCUUCGUCAUUCCUGCCACAAAUACCCACCAGGAACUCCAGCCACCGCUUCUGGCCUCAGAUCCUUUAUAAGCCCAGCACCUCCUCAGAGUCAGGGCUGGUGCCUUCUGGAGCUCAGCCCGACCCCCUCUGGUGCCUGAAGAAGUCUCUCUGGCUUUACCAACUUGGCCUUGCGUGUUUCUCCCUCUGAAACCUAACAUUUGGGGCUGAAACCCAGGAGGGAUUGGCGGGGGGUCAGAAAGCUGGCCAGUAGCACCUGUAACCUCUGGGUUUGCAACCCAGAGAACAGAGGGCAGGGGCAGCUGGUCCUGAUCUAAUCUCGGGCUCCCAUGCAGGUCUGGGCCCCUGAUCCCGGCAUCUCCCUGCCAACCCUCUGGAGCCCAGCCAGGGAGAAACGCCAAGCCGGGAACUCCACCUUGCCAUUACCAACUCCGCAUCCAACACCGGCCUCCCAGUUCUCGGGGGAGUGGCUGACCCCUCCCUCCUCCUCCUUCCUGCUUCUCCAGAACCUGAUGAGCCACCUCUCCCAGCCCCCACUGUCAUGCUCAAGGUACGGGCUACCUCCACCCCUUCCAUAGCCAGACAUCAUGCUCCCAUUCGAAUGAAGUUAAAAGACCCGUCCACAAAGCCCUGCCACCCCCACUGUCCUUUGAACCCUGACAGCAGAAGGGGCCUCCAACCUAUUAUUAACCACCUUCUUUCUCGUAACUUACUCCAGCCCGCUCACUCCCAUUCAACAGUCCAAUCCUACCGGUAAAAAAGUCAGAUGGCUCUGACCGCCUUGUCCCAGAUCUCCGCAUCAUAAACCAGGCAGUCCUGCACCUCCCCCGGGGGUCCCUAACCCCUGCACCAUCCUACCCCUUCUUCCCCCAGAUACCUGCCACUUCUUGGUGCUCAAUCUGAAGGAUGCCUUCCUUCCUGUCCCUUCACACCCAGACUCUCAGGACCUUUCCGCCGUCACCUGGACACAUCCCGACACCCACCCAUCGAGUCCGCUUACCUGGAAGUCCUUCCCCAGGGCUUUCGGGACAGCCCCUGGCUUCAGAUCGCAUCAGCCCGAGUACCCUCCUCCAGCACGUGGAAGGUCUCUUACGAUGCAGCCCAGCGUAUGACAGCUCUUAAACAGACAGCGACGCUUUCAGACCCUGGCUGAUAGGGGAUACCGGCUGUCUCCCGCCAGAGCUCAAGCUUCGGGCCCCCAGGUCAAAUAGCUCAGAAUCUAUUACCCUGGAUGUCACGCUGUCACUGUAGACAGAAAACAGCUCAUUGCUUCUCUCCCCAACCACCACCCCUUUCAAACAGGCACUCCCAUCUUUCCUGGGGCUUGCAGGAUUCCUCCGUAUCCGGAUCCCCAACUUGAGGCUUUGGCCCGUCCCCUAUACCAAGCCACCAAAGGGCCUCUAAUAAAGGCCCUGCUGUCACUAUUACAGCUCCCUUCUUUAAAUUACAGCAGGCGCUUAUCUCCGCCCCUGCUUGCUCCCUUCCUGGCUUAUCACAAGCCUUCAAGCUCCCUUCAACAGAAAGACAAGGAAGAGCCCUUGGUCUGUUGGGAAAAGACAGGGGACCAGAUAUUCAAGUCGUUGCUAGAUGCCACAGUCAGGGAGAGCCCAGGCUGCAGCAGGCUGUCUGAGAGCCCAGGCUGCAGCUGCCCUCUUAACAUCUGAGAGCAAAAAACUCAUCUUUGGAUAGUCCACCACCGUCUAGUCCACAUAUAACCUCCCGGGCCCUCUCUCACAUAAAGCCACGCAAAAUCUUUCUCCCUUGGAGACGAACACAGGAGCUUCAUCUGGCUUGUGUCGAGUCACUCGACACACACUUGGCCAGAAGCCCCCCGCUCAACCCGGCUACACUUUUAUACAUCCCGGACAGGAAAGUCUUACAGUCUUGCGAGGAAAUUUUAUUAUUAUUAUUAUUGGUCUUUUUGUCUUUUUAGGGUCGUAUCCAUGGCAUAUGGAGGUUCCCAGGCUAGGGGUCUAAUCAGAACUGUCGACCCUGGCCUACACCACAGCCACAGCAACACCAGAUCCAAGCCGCAUCUGAGACCUACACCAUAUCUCACGGCAACGCCGGAUCCUUAACCCACUGAGCAAGGCCGGGGAUAGAGCCCGCAACCUCAUAGUUCCUUGUCAGAUUUGUUUCUGCUGCACCACAACGGGAACUCCAAGGACAUUUUAGAUUUCAAAUCACCGUACCUCACUAACCUCUCAAACCAUCCCUUGCCUAAAGCUUCUGAUACCUGGUUUACUGAUGGCAGCGCCUUCUCUCAGGAUGGAAAGAGGGUGGCAGGAUAUGCAGUAGUUUCUCUUAAGGAGGGCAUUGAAUCUAACCCCCUUCCAAGAGAAGCCACCGCCCCAAAGGCAGAAUUCAUUGCCCUUCCUCGAGCCCUGGUCUUAGCUGCAGGACAAGAGGCAAACAUUUACACUGACUCCAAGUAUGGCUAUCAUAUCCUUCGCUCUCACGCCGAAAUCUGGGAAGAGAGGGGCUCCUCUCCACGAAGGGCUCCCGCGUACUUAAUGCCCCCUUAAUCUUUAGGCUUCUCCAGGCAGCCCGACUGCCCAAGGCAGCUGCUGUCCUUCACUGUAAGGGGCAUCAAAUGGGAAGGGAUUUCUCAUU
Molecule: long non-coding RNA, 3081 nt
Filed under: Sus scrofa (pig)
Lineage: Eukaryota; Metazoa; Chordata; Mammalia; Artiodactyla; Suidae
Description: lncRNA (ENSSSCG00040014003.1)
Source: RNAcentral